GGCCGAAACGCGCAACGAAACCGACCCCAAAUCGAAUCCACCGCCGCGGCGCCGCUCCCCCCUUCGGCCGCCCGCCCUAGCAACUCCUCCGGCGGCUGGCGAGCGAGCAGAGAUGAACGCCGCUGCUCCCGCCGUCCCGCCUCCCCUCUCAGCCUCCUACUCCACCUCAAUCUGCCGGCGAGGAAUUUCGGAUUCCAGCAACAAGGGGCGCGUCGGUGAUCUUCGGCGCGUGGCUGCGACAGAGCUCGACGCGCCCAGGCGGUUGAUCUGGCCGGGUGUCCAUGGCCGAUGGCGGCUUCAAAGGAUCGACAACGCUGCCACGGGUAGAGAUCGACGGCAGUAGGCCUGAUCUGUCGCCCCUCCAGUGGAUUCGUCGCUCCUCUUCCACGGCCACCAAUGGCGCAAGCCCCUUUCCUCGUCCAACGCUCGCUCAGGGUGCUCUGUUCCUCAGCCGGUGAGCCCCCGUCUCUUCGACGGCAGCGGCACAGGCCGCACCUUGAGCUUCACAUCUCUUCCACGACAAGCGGCACAAGCAACAUGUUUUCUAGGGUUUUGUUUCCCCGCCUCCUUUCUUCGCAGUGGCACAUCAACGGCAUUGCCAACAACCUGCCAGAUUUGUCUCACUGCCAACAUAUCUGCAUAAGCUGCAUCCAAAUUAAGCAGUACCAGUCCCAAAAUAAUUACUCUGGCCAGAGAAAGAAGCCAGUGUUCAGCGUGCUCUGUUCGAUCUAAUACAGUCUGGUAGAUUUUGAAAGAAAGGAAUUGCAGAUUUUAUUUGGACAAAGAGAUGAAGCCAGAAAGGCCAUGGCGACAACUCGUUCCACAUCCACAACUCUGGCCGCCAUGCCCAUAGUAUCUUCUACAUGCAGGUGGUCUGUGUUCAUCUCUAGCCCUGUGUGUGUGUGUGCGUGUGCGUGUGCGGAACUAGGAUUCGAUUCGGUAUAACACCAUCACCGAUGCAGACGAUAAGGGGUUCAUCGCACCAGGCACCUUGGCGUUGCUUCCGUGAGAUGGUGGCCGUGGCUACAGAAACAGCUACGGUGAGUUCCUCUCCUCACCUCCAGUGGUUGCUCUGAGUUCGGUGUGGCCAUCGUGCCAUGGCUAUAUCUGGUUAGGCUGCUACAGUACGCCCUUGCAUAACGAUGGUGCUACUGUUUGUUUGUUUCUCUGCCUUGCUGCCACUAGCCUGCCUAAUAGAAACUUGCUGAAUAUAUAUGUCUUUGAGCAGGAAUUGAUAGAAUAUAUAUAGCUCAUGUUCAUGUUGAUUCCCAUCCCACUCAAAGUCUGAAACACUUCUUCUUCUUCGCACUCAACAACUAGGCAGCACACCCAAAUAUAUAUGCAUAUAUAUGUAUGUAGUUUCCCACUACACACAUGGAGCAGUCUUGUUCGUUUCAGGAUGUAGUAUCACCACUUUAUUUAUUCCCUGCCUGCCUCCAUGAUAUUCUGACUGCAUAUAUGUGGUCUGUGUACCAUCCAUGAUAUGCACUUCCAUCCUCAAUUCAUGUUGGUAUUGUUUUAUACCAAGGAUGCCUUCCUACUCCUGCUAGUUUAGUUGUUGUGUGGCCUUGUUUCCAUGAUGAUGAAAUUCCAAAUAUACAAAUUAUUCAUACUACAUGGAGGGCCGGUGCGGGUGCUGUGGACACUCAUUUUAUGUCACUUCAUUCAAUUAAGAAAGGCAUUUUUGACAGCAUCAAAGUAAGAAGUCGUUCGAGAAGAGUGGUGCCAGAAUAACCAUAGCGUUCAAUAGAGGAAAGCGGGCGAGCACGGAAGCCAUAGUAGGUUGAGUUGGAGGCAAUGCGUUACCAAUAGAAGGAGGUUUGGUAGUUGAGGGAGAUGGCGAAUUAGAGGAAUCCACAACAUGUGGACAACCAAUGUGGUAAGAAGAGGAUGAGGGGGAAUUACCGGAGAAGCCUCACAGGAUGAGCGAGGUUUGAGGUAGCCUCAGGUAAUGAACGAGGUGAGGAAGCCACAUGUGUUAAUGGUAUGGAGUCUAGAAUAUUAGUACAGGAAGACACGGUGGGAUGGGUGGAUAAGGACAAUGCGUGGGUGAUAGUCGUAUCUGCAAAAGUGAGGAAAGAAAUAUCGUCAAUGGGAGGAUGGACAUGGAUUGAAAGGAUGAGACUCAUCAAAAGCCACAUCCUGAGAAAUGAGCAUCCCAUGAGAAGGAUCCUAACAAGUGAUAUUCAAUAGACUGAGCAACCAGUUUGGUGCGUUCACGGGAGGGGGGGGGGCAAAAAGAAAAGGUAGCAACUGCAACCAAACAAAAGAAGCGUUGAGUAGCCAUGAGAAUGACCAAAAAGACGCUUGAGAGAACAAGAUCAAAAGGACGUUGAGAGAUCGUCUCACUAUGAGGAUGAAGUAAUCGUGUUUACCAAGCCGACAAACUUGACAGUUUAAAGACAACACCCGAGAUAGAUACAAGAAAAUCACGUUGAGAGGUGAGGGACGAGAGCCAUACAAUUGACCGACGAUGAUGCCACAGAGAGUCGGUAGCCAAGGAAACAGACGAAGAAAAGGUAGCAACCACAACCAAACAAAUGAAGCGUUGAGUAGUCACAAGAACAACUAAAAAGACGCUCGAGAGAAAUGUCACCUUGCGGAACAGAGGAAGGGUGAAUAUUGAUGAGAUGGGUGGAAGUAGGAACAAUCUCAACCCAAAAGUGAGGUGGAAGAGAGGCGGCGAUCAUCGACGCACGGGCUACCUCAAGAAAGUGACAAUGGUUGCGCUCAUCAACACCAUUUUGAGCAUGAGCACUAGGAGAAGAGAACUGACCAAGUGCGCCCUGCUCAGCGAGGAAUCCCACAACAAAUGAGAGAUAUACUCACGAGCAGGAUCUACACGGAAGACAUUGAUGGGAGUGGAAAACUGGGUAUGAACCAUGGUGAUAAACUUCUCACCGAUAAGAUCUCACUACAAGAAGAUACGAAAUAUAUUCAUGUGUGUCAAGAGUAAUCAUCUAUAAACAUAAUAUAGUAGCGAUGGCCUCCUUUCGAGGCGAAGGAAGCUGGACCCCAAACAUCAGAGUGAACAAGAUUGAAAGGAUGUUGAGACACCGCCUCGCUAUGAGUAUAAAGUAACCGAACCUGUUUACCAAGCUGACAAACCCGAUAGUUUAAAGACACAACACCUGAGACAGAUCCAAGAAAACCACAUUGAACUAAGGACGAGGGAUGAGAGCCAUACAAGUGACCCACAAUGAUGCCACAUAGAGCCGACAACCGAGGAAACAUAGGUGAAGAGAGUAGCGGUGGUGGCAGCAAGGCAGGUGAAGCCAUUCAAGCUCCUGGAGGACUUGGGAGUCACUGCGCCGAGGGCCAACACAAAGUAGAGCACACGUGUGACGAUCCUAAUCUAAACAAGAGCCAAAGAUGAGGAUGACUACUCCUGAGUCAACAAUCUUACACUUGAAAUGAGCUACAUGGUAAGUCAAGGAACAUGACAACGAAGUGCUAAUAGUGCCUAGACUAUCGAAUGGGAGGGGAAGUACCAUCAACAAUAAGAACAUGAACAUGAGAGUCUAAAGGUUUGAGUGGAGGACAAACUGGAAGAAGCAUGAGUCAUAUGAAAAGACUCUCCAAUAUCAAGGAUCCAUGGAAAGAUGUGCUUCCAGCCUAGAAAUGAGUUCAGUGCUCAACCUCAUGGCAGCACACUUAUAUGAUAAUUUUUGGACAUUUCUAAUAACAAGAAGCCUUACUCUUAUUUUGGCAUUUUGGCCUGAGGUAGCUGGGCUAGUAGGUGCCAAGGUGGUCGUGGAAAGAAAGAUGAUUUUGACCCUUCCUUGGUUAUGACUUUGGUACGAAGCCACCUCGCAAGAUGUUAUGAUUGCAGGCAACCCCGCGUCAGUGAAGGACCUGCCCUUGGCGCCAGGGGAAAGAAAGUGACAAGUCUUAUAUAGAAUACCACGAGGGAAAACUGGGACGAGCAUCUCAGCUCAGGGUUCCUAUUUGCAAGUUCAAGUGAAAAAGACAGAGGAUGACGAGGGCGUGCUGCUCCUGACAUCAUUUUCAUUGCUUCCUCAUACCUCCCUAUUUGCAAGUUCAUGUGAAGAAAAGACAGGAUGGCAAGUGCGUGUCGCUCUUGACAGUGUUUUCAUUGCAUCCCCGUAACUCUCAUGCACUCUCCAUUUCUAGCUGAUCUGACUUAGCGUUCUUCCCCUGUUUAUGGGUUUUGUGUCACGGACUUGGUUCCGCAUUUCAUGUUCCCUUGUUGGUCGUCCCUGGCCUUGGCGACAGGUAGCAACGUGCUCCUGGGCGCUAUGCGUCCUCGCGUAAGACGGAGAUGGUGCCGACUGCUUGCGCUCUUGCUCCGCCAGUGGUGGUGCCUGAGCUUGUGGCUAUUUGGGCAACCUGCAUGGGAGCACAGGAUGUAGGAACAAGGCAGCACACAAAGCAACUUGCAAACAUGUGAAGGAUGCUUUGCCGUUCUGGCAGGCAAUGGAGAGUACGCGGGAGGUGUGGGGGAAGGGUGAAAACACUGUCGAGAGUGGACUGUCAUUGCCGUCAGUCUUUGGACCUAGAGCCGAGCGAAGAAGGGAUGGCGAUAAGCGAGGAAGACAGGAAGAGGGCAUAUGCCCGUGUGUCGGCCAUGACAGUGGACGAUUGUGGGUAGAUCCGAUGUCUACACAUGGAUCUGCUACUUGUGAUGGCAUGGCAUGGUUGUUGUGGAGUGAGGUGCCAUCGUAGUCACGGCCAUGGCAUGGCAUGGCACUCUGCCAUCGUAGUCAUGGCCAUAUUUUUUUUGAAAACCACGGGCCACACAACGAGCCAUGUAACGUUUGGGAGAACCACCAGUCUUAACAUUGUAGACCCACUUACAAGUGACAGACGAGCAUGAGGAGGAAGGGAAAUGAGAUCCCAUGUGUUGAUGCACUCACGAGCAGCAAUCUCUUAUGCCAUCGCAUGUUGCAGUUUGAGGUGAACAACACCGUCAUGAGCAUUCAUCUCGAGAAGAAUGAUGCCAGAAUAACCAUAGUAUACAAUAGGGGGAAGCGGGUGAGUGCAGAAGCCAUAGUAGGUUGAGCUGGAGGCGAUGCGUGGCCAAUAGGAGGCAUGGUUGUCAAGGGAGAUGGUGCAUCAGAAGAAUCCACAACAAGUGGACGACCAAUGUGGUAAAUAUAAGAGGACGAGGGGGAAUCAUCGGAGAAGCCACAUGGGAUGAGCGUAGUGAGGUUGCCUAAGGUAACAAAUGAGGUGCGGAAGCCACAUGUGACGAUGGCAUGGCGUCUACAAGAGUAGUAUGGGAAGACAUGAUGGGAUGGGUGGACGAGGGCAACACAUGAGUGAUAGUUGUAUCAGGAAAAGUGAGGAAAGGAAUAUCCUAAAUGGGAGGAUGGGCGUGGAUAGAGAAGGACGAGACUCAUCAAAAGUCACAUCCCGAGCAAUGCGUAUUCGACGACCCACAGAAUCCCAACAUUGAUAGCCGUUGUGCUCGUCAUUGUGAAGACAUUCAACUGACUGAGCAGCCAGUUUGGUGCGUUCGGGGGGGGGGGGGGAGGGUGGCAAAACAUAGCAAACAAACGAAGCACUGAGUCAUGAGAACAACCAAAAUGAUGCUCGAUAGAAAUGUCACCCUGCAAAGCAGAGGAAGGUUGAAUGUUGAUGAGAUAGGUGGAAGUAGGAACAACCUCAACCCAAAAGUGAGGCGGAAGAGCCGCGACGAUCAUCAAUUCACGAGCUGCCUCAAGAAAGUGAUGAUGCUUGUGCUCGUCAACACCAUUCUGAGCAUGAGCACCAGCAGAGCAAGUUUGUCCUGCUCAACAAGGAAUCCACGCAACAAAUGAGAGCUACAGUUAUGAGCAGAAUCUACAUGGAAGACACAAAUAGGAGUGGAAAACUGGGUCAAGCAUGGUGGCAUGGCAGGGAAGACACAAUCAUGGGCAGUCAUGGCGGCAAACUUACGGAGGAAUCAUCUAUAAAGAUAUUAUAGUAAAGAAUGGCCUCUUUUCGAGGCAAAUGGAGUUGGAUCCCAAACAUCAGAGUGAACAAGAUCGAACGGGUGUUGAGAAACUGUCUUGCUAUGAGGAUGCAAUAACGGAACUGUUUACCAAGCAGACAACCUGGCAGUCUAAAGACCCAAUGCCGGAGACAUAUCCACGUUGAACCAAAGGAUGAGGGACGAGAGACAGAAGUGACCAAGACAAUGAUGCGAUAGAGAGCUGGUAGUCGAGGUAACAAAGGCGAAGAGAUUGGCACCAAGUAGAGCACCCGUGUGACGGUCCUAAUCUACAACCAGUCAACAAUCUAACCACCUAAAAUGAGUUACAUGGUAAGUCAAGGAAGGUGAGCAAAAGAAUGAACAUGACAAGACAAAGUGUCUCAACUAUCGAAUGGGAGGGAAGUACCAUCAACAGUAAGAACAUGAACAGGAGAAGCUAGAGGUUUGAAUAGAGGACAAACUGGAAGAAUCAUGAGUUAUAUGAAAAUACGCUCCAAUUCAAAGGAUCCAUGGAAAUAUACCCGACUGUACAAAAGCACCGGGCGAUGAAAAACCAGAAGCAUUAAGUAGGUGUCGAAGUUGUCCAAGCUCUUGCGCGGUGAAGGAUACCGCUGAAGUGGUCGACGUAGAAUCACCAAAAGAGGAGUGGCCGCCACCACCACCUAUGUGAGCCCCAAAGAGGCGGCGGUGUAGCACGACAAAUACCAGUGGUAGAAGUCGAUAGAGGAGACAACGUCGUAAGCACACAAACACCAACCGCGUGGGAGUGAUGUGCACCAACACUAUCGAUGAAAGCCAUGAGGCGAGUCUGUGUACAGCGACCAUCACCAUCUAUAAAGAUCGCGCAAGUUGUCACUAUGGAGCCACCACCACUGCCUGUAAAAACAAUUGGGGGAGCAACCUCAGGUGGAGGAACACUGCACCAGCAAACGACACAUGUAUGAGGUAGGGUCAGUGUAGGUAACACCCUAAGAAAUCACCGGACAACAAGAUACUAUGUCCAAUGAAGUCAUUGUACCUGUUUCUUUGUUCUACUCUUUUCUUUUACAGAACAGUCUUAGAGAGCAGCAGAGCAUGGAAGAGCAGUGUAUAGGGCACGCAGGGUGCCCUAGAGAAGCCAGUCGGUGGAACGGGUUGCCGGGGCUAAGGUUCCGCGGUGAAGUCCGGCGAUGAGGUCCUGUAUGUAGCAAAAGGUGCGGAGACCAUGACCCGCAACAGCGGACGUCUCAAAUAUUGCACCUCCUGGAGCUGCGGGGCGCUGGCCUCCCGGAGAUGGCGGUGAGGUGCUGACCUUCUGUACAUGGUAAUGAGGCGCGACCUCCUGAAACUGCAGGUGACGACGGCCUAGGGUCUACAACAUUAGUAUGGGAAGACAUGGUGGGAUGGGUCGUGGAGGACAAUACAUGGGUGAUUGGUGUUAUUGGGAAAAGUAAGGAAAGAAAUUUAACUCCUACAGUAUGAGAGGGUCACUAGGUAGCCUCGUUGCUCUCUCUCUCUCUCUCUCUCUCUCUCUCUCUCUCUCUCUCUCUCUCUCUCUCUCUCCUUGCAGUUUCUGGAAUUGGGAGUGGAAGAAGCGGUGAGCGUUCCGGAGGUGAAGGGCGGCAAUAGAAGUUCAUCUGACCUUCGUUCCUGUAGCAUGGUUCGAAUCAAUUAAAGACCUGAGAUUCAGUGGUAGAAGCUGCAGACAACCAUCGCUGGCGAGGCACAAGAGGUUUCCACGGUCAGAUCUACAUUGAGGCGAGGCCAUGUCAAAGAAAACACCACUAGUAGUAAGAUCAUAAGAUACUAAUGGGCUCCCUGUAAUCCCAAAGUGCACUGGCCAGUGGAUAGAUAUUUUUUACAAAAUCUUCUAGAGGCGCUUAAUUUUCUAUAUCGAAAACGACUUCUGGUUCCAUCCAACCUGUAUGGGAAUGAUCAUUGAGUAGGCCAAAAAGUUAGAUAAUUUCCUGUGCUCAGAUUGUGCUAAAGAAAACGACGCAAAGAGACCUACAAAUUCAUACCAGAGUUCACCAAGUUCUCAUUCUAAG
This is a non-coding RNA of Aegilops tauschii subsp. strangulata, 7965 nucleotides long. The record is from RefSeq and is a predicted model, not a curated record. NCBI's taxonomy places the organism in Eukaryota, Viridiplantae, Streptophyta, Magnoliopsida, Poales, Poaceae.